This 265-nucleotide ribosomal RNA is filed under the name uncultured bacterium. RNAcentral's name for it is "partial 16S ribosomal RNA". It matches the Rfam family "Bacterial small subunit ribosomal RNA", at positions 793 to 1055 of the family's 1533-position model. The record is from RNAcentral.
GUCCACACUGUAAACGAUGAUUGCUAGGUGUGGGGAGUUUGACCCUUUCCGUGCCGGAGUUAACGCAAUAAGCAAUCCACCUGGGGAGUACGGCCGCAAGGUUGAAACUCAAAGGAAUUGACGGGGCCCGCACAAGCAGUGGAUUAUGUGGUUUAAUUCGAAGCAACGCGAAGAACCUUACCAGGUCUUGACAUCCAACUAACGAGAUAGAGAUAUGUUAGGUGCCCUUCGGGGAAAGUUGAGACAGGUGGUGCAUGGUUGUCGU